AUUCGAGCUUUAUUUUUGUUGCUUUCGCUUUGUGUUGAGAUUUUUUUUUGUAGUCUUUUUUGGUGGGGGGGGGGGCUUUCCUUUUUCACCAAUAAUUAUCAAAGACCCAUGCUUCACGGAGUAAUUCUGCGGAUUCUAACUCAGAACUAUAAUUUGAGUAACCACAAAGUGUUAACGAGAUCUUGCAAUCAUCUCCCUGCCUAUUGUCGGUACAAAAAAACAAACAUUAACCGAUCAUCCUACUUCAUUAGGUUGUAUGAUUAGAUUACCAAAGAAUUAUGUGGUGUUAGCAGGAGGGAGAGGGGGGUAAAACACCGAGUGGAUACUGUUGCGGAAUUCUGAUACCUUUAAGGACUAGUCAUCGUUGGUGUGGAGGAGAACGGUACCAAUGACCGUUUUCAGGAUCUCUGAGACUGAAAAGAGAGAUCAAUGGAGUUGUCCCCUCAAAUAGAUCUGGCCUGCAUACUUAUAACAGAACGGACCCUACUAAGGGUACAGAAGGAUCAGGUGGUCGUGUUGAAUUGGUCAAUGGAUUAAGUGUGCCACUCCAAGAACAGCGGAUGAUCUCUAUGGUGGUGAUGGUGGUGGUGGGUGUUUUCUUCAGAGAUUUCGUUGACCAAAUUUCACUCAUAAGGCUUUGAUUGAGCCACAGCUAUGUAUGAUUCCUCAAGAUACCACGCAAUUGGAUCGAACCUAAAAACUUUGCAGCCAUGAAACAAAAAUUCUUAGCCAUACAGCCAUACAGCCAUACCUGCAGCUAUGUUGAAUACAUUGAGCGACAUCGAACUAAAUUGGAUUGUAGGCGACAGAAUCGAUAGAGCGUCUGACAAAAUGCUUUGCGUACCGGAACACACCGCCAGGAAUUUUAUCCGAUGCUCUAGCGAUUCUGCUAGGUUUACAUAAAAUAUUCCGCAACAACAACAACAAUGACGACAGCAACAAUAAGAGAAGCAGCAGCAGCAGCAAUCCUGCGGAUCCUGAUUACUCCACUCCGAAGAAAUUUAUCAAUGUUCAUAAAUUUACCAGUUUAAGCCAACGAAAACAUGGGAUAAAGAUAAAUUUUAUCCAUAAAAAUUAAGUAUUGCACUUCCUGCACUUUACUGCACUCUACCUGAACAUGGAGAUGCUUGAUAACACCACGAUGUCAAAGGUUGUCCAUUUUCUCGAUAAAUCGCUAAUAGUUACUUUGAAGUCUUCUUUGAACAGUCGGACAUCAGUUUACCUGGAUAGAAAUAAUGCAGUUAUUAACAAGAGUACUCAGAGAGCGCAACCAUCCGCCAAGGCAACAUCAACGUCCUCUCAACGAUUAGCCAGAGAUGAUUUUUAAAAUGAGACGAUCUGAAAUAAACUCGACUGCUCUCAUAAACGAGAAUACUAAAUAUGAACCCGAGCGCUCUCAAAAAAUUAAAUAAAAAGAAACGGAAAAAUAAUACAGAAUCCUUGUCUGGUACCGGAUCGAUCCCAAAAUCUAAUCAGUUUGUGCUAGUCACGUGGCCAAACAUCCCUGAAAGUUUCAUCCGAAUCCAUCCAAUGGGUCUUGAGGUCCACGGACAAAGAAACAAACACGACUGAAAACAAUACCUCUGCCUUUGCUAAGGCGAAGGUAAUAAGAAGCGUAGAAAUUUUAGGCAGGCAACAUUUCACAGUUCUAGCAUCACUCCUUUAUAAUCGGCCUUAGAGCUUUUCUGACAACCCUCAUAUCUGUACUGCCUUAUAGUCUUGUGGGUGAGUCUACGAAGACAAAAACUAGUGGGGUACAUGCCCAGAAAAGAAGGAAGCUGUGAAGAUCAGUUUUAACCCAUUCAUUACUCUAUUUUUAAUGAAAUAAACUAACUUUGUUACGAUUAAUUUUGAAAAUAAUGAAGAAUUUAGUAAGAUAACUUAGUCAUUACUAAGCUGGUAUUUUGAACAUAAACUGAUAUGAAAUUUUUAUAGGUUUUAAUUUAGAUCACAUUAAAACAAGAAGCUUGUGUCAUAGGACCAGGAAAGGUUUCAGAGAUGGGUUGGUAUCAAGAGGGUUAAGAUGGUUUUCAACAUACUAGAUUCUAGCAGCUUCCUGCGACUGAGAGAAAGUAUCAGUUGUCUUCGAUGUCCAUUGCCAUUAGAUCUAUCCCUUUCACAGCAAAGGAAGUGGGAAAUGUGCACUGCCUAUGCCAUUAUAAAGCUUCAUUGCUGGGGCCUAUUCUCCUUCAAAGUGAUUCAUGCGAUGAUAAACGUUGUCGUUGCCGCGGCGGGAGCAUCAAACAAGAUUGCGACAGAUAAACUGUUCUUAUGUUCUUACUAUUGCCCAUAAAAGCCAAACACUGACAUGCACACGCGCGCGCACGCACACGCACACCCACACACACACACACACCCACACACACACACACAUACUUGCAUAUAUGUAUGAGUAUAUAUAUAUAUUUGUUGUUGUACUUGGGGAUGGUCAUGUUGCCAGUUUAGCCAAUAAA
Molecule: long non-coding RNA, 2453 nt
Organism: Octopus bimaculoides (California two-spot octopus)
Lineage: Eukaryota; Metazoa; Mollusca; Cephalopoda; Octopoda; Octopodidae
Source: RefSeq, a predicted model, not a curated record